UACAGAGGUCCCAAGCGUUGUUCGGAUUUACUGGGCGUAAAGGGUGCGUAGGUGGUUGGAUAAGUCUGAUGUGAAAUCUCCGAGCUUAACUCGGAAACGGCAUUGGAAACUAUUCGACUAGAGAGUUGGAGGGGGGACUGGAAUACUUGGUGUAGCAGUGAAAUGCGUAGAUAUCAAGUGGAACACCAGUGGCGAAGGCGAGUCCCUGGACAACUUCUGACACUGAGGCACGAAAGCUAGGGGAGCAAAC
This 250-nucleotide ribosomal RNA is filed under the name uncultured bacterium. RNAcentral's name for it is "partial 16S ribosomal RNA". It matches the Rfam family "Bacterial small subunit ribosomal RNA", at positions 524 to 773 of the family's 1533-position model. The record is from RNAcentral.